Molecule: long non-coding RNA, 4070 nt
Filed under: Homo sapiens (human)
Lineage: Eukaryota; Metazoa; Chordata; Mammalia; Primates; Hominidae
Description: HSALNT0365811
Source: RNAcentral
CAGGCUGAAAAAUUCUAUUGUGUGUGUGUACCACAUUUUCUUUAUCCAUUCAUCUCUUGAUGGACAUUUGGGUCGUUUCCAUAACUUGACUCUUCUUAACCUUGUUGCAGUGAACACGGGAGUGCAGAUAUCUUUUGAAGAUCCUGUUUUCAAUUCUUUUGGGUAUAUACUCGGUAGUAGGGUUGCAAAUUAAAAAUGGAGCUCUCACAGACCAUUAUUUUCUUGAUCCUUUGGUGCAUUUACUUUGGGUUGCCUAGGAACUCCUCCGUCUGUGGAUUUACCUUGUAGAGUCAGAGGGGAUGAUUGGGGAACCUGCAUGGCGAUGUGGGUUUUGAGCCUCUUUGGAAUUCAAACAAUACUGAUUUACCAGAACAAGAAAAUUUGGCUUUGGCCCCAAUACAGGCUGAGAAAGUUCAUCUUUUUAAAAGGGGCCAGUUCUUGAUUAGUUAGGGUACUGGAAUGGUCCAGGGAGGGAUAACUCAGGCCAUUUGCUUUGCCUCCUUCCCUUUCUUUCUGUCUGAUCUUUGGCCAGUUCAUGGCUUUCUAAUCCUGCCACUGGGGGAUGAAGGAAGAUUAAACUUGUGCCGUUGCCUUUGCAUGUUAUGAGCUCUCCAGAAAAAGUUUGCAUGGGAAUGGCCGAAGAUGUGGUAAGUUAAAGCAAAAUCAAUACACAGUUUACUAUCCAUGUCUUUCUGCUACCCUGCAAAUUUUCUUCCUCUCCAUGUAAUCUCUUUAUUGCAGCCUAGGAACUUUGUCAAGGGCUCCAUGACCAGGGUCUUUAGGAAACUCCAAAGACCUGAGAUUUCACCAGCAGAAAUGACAGCUGUUCCAAAAACAGAAAGGAGACUGCACACGCCUGUUCAGGACACCAAGCUGUGUGAAAGCACUCCAGGCUGGUGGGAAUACCGCUCCCAGAAAGAAUCUGACUUGUUUCAGAAGCUUAUCUUCUGGCACUUGCUCUUCCAAAGAAAAAGGCUGCAGCAGGAGGAUAAAAGAGGCAAUCCAGGAGUGUGUGAGAUGGAGCCAGUUACAUGCAUCUCAGCCCAGGGAGGGAGUGAGGAGGGAAUGAAUGCGGCCUAAGUCCCUCACCUGCAAUGUGUAGGAGGUAAAUGAACCUGCUCACCCUCCCUCUCACCCAGCCACAUUCAGGGUCAUUUGCUGUAGCUCAGGUGGCUGCGGCUAGGGUGGGGUUGCCAGGUGGAAUAAUGGUCAUGCACAGCUGCCCCUCCACAGGGGCUGAGCCCAGGGUGGCUUCACUGGAAGAGGGUGUGGGACAAGCUGGGUAUCCUGGCUGACAUCUCUGCUAGCUGUCGGAAAGUUGAGUGAGGGAUGGGGUAGCUGUAUCUGUGUGUGUAUAUGUGAGAGAGUGUGUGUUUGCUGGGUCCUCGUAUGUGUUUGUUUCAGAUGGAUGUGUGUGGGUUUGAGGCCAGGGGAAUGGUGAGUCAGGGCAGCCCUGGGGGCAGGGAGGGGUGGGUGUGAGCAGGGCGAGUGAAGUGGCUGCAGCAGGAACAGGGGAGGCAUGCGGAACAUGGGUGGCAUGAGAGCUGACGCUACGACUGAAUGGAUUUUGAAAGGUCUUUGUCUGCCUCAAUUAAAAGGAUAGAUCCUUUUUUUCUUUAAGGCUGAAUAAAUAAUUUUUUCCCUUUUCUUCUUUGGUUCUUUUCAUAUAACAAUUUGUCAAACUCCGUCAAAAACAAACACAAACAGAAAAACCCAAAAGUCUUCUUGAAUGGGUUCAAGGUGCAGGAGGCACAGCUGAGCUGUGGGGAGCAGCGGUGCAGGAGCGGGGUGCUCGGUGGACUCUGGACCUGCUCUUGGGGCUGCUGGCCCCCUUCUUGCCCGUGUGGCCAGGGCAGCCCUUUGGAAAAGCUGUGCUGUAGCUUCAUCUUUUGUUUUGGCUUUUAUUGGCAUAUUCUUUUGUUCUCUUUAACUGCAUCCAAUCAAAUUGGCACAUCUGAGGUUCGGGAAGAUGGUUUGGAGCCAUUCCAUUACUCUGCCUAUCGAAUUCUGGGAUUUCUGCUUCCUGCCCUGUCCUGUCUUCUGUCCCCAGCUCACCCGGCCCCUACUGAUGUCAUGCUUUAUCAGCUUUCCACUGUGCAUGUAACUCUGCCUGGCAUUUGGUAUUGGGGUGGGUGUGGUGCUUUGAGAGAGGCACAGCAGAACCACUGAGAGAAAGGACGGUGUUUUUCCGUUUAGACCCUCAUUCAUCCCCUCCUUUCUCUAUUUUGCAGGUGCAGAACAUUGAGUUAUGGGGGUCCAGGGUAAACUUGGCUACCUUGGUAAACAUGGCUACAAGCUCCUUUAUAUAACUUUAGGUUUCGGGACACAGCAUGGAAACCACUACUCUAGACGACAGCCAUGUGACAUGCCUGCCCCCACUUUGCCUCCCACCACAAUUGGAAGCUUCCUGAGGCCUUCACCAGAGGCAGAUACUGGCACCAUGCUUCCUAUACAGCCUGCAGAACGGUGAGCCAAUUAAACCUCUUUUCUUACCCAACCUCAAAUAUACGUUUAUAGUAGUGCAAAUGGACUCCUACACCACUGACAGAGAUUUUGUGGCUCAUCUGAUUGCUCUUUUUUACUCUAGGGAAAUCUUUGAACACCUCAGUUUGUCAGUGGCCACAUCUGUACAACGGGCUACUGGAAAUGUGCUCACCUUCAGAAGAUGCUAUUUCAAACCCACGCAUUUGCCCUGAGCCAUCUGCUUUCUAGAUGGCCCAUCUUGUAGCAACUCAUAGAUGACUUUUUCAGAUACUUGGUUGGGGGCGGGGUCAAGACCGUGUUUUGAGAAUAGACUUUUUCCCUGUGGGAAACUGAAAGGCUUGUGGUGUAAUGAUCCCUGGCCUGGGGCCUCCUUUGCACAGUUAAUUAAUUCCAACGACAAAUAUUUACUGUGCAUCGAGCGUAGCAGGCAGUGCCCUGACUGAUUAAGAUGAUCUGAUAUGGUAAUGCAGGGUGGACUUGAGAAAUUAAUGAUUUUAAAAUGUAGUUAGCAACCUAGGGUUCUGGAGGGACAAUGCCAGACUUUCUUCUGGUGUUCAAACCGUCCCAGACUGUGAAGGAACUGGUCCGUGAUGUCUGCCUGGGCUGCUUUGCCUCUGCUCCAUAGCUGAGGGAAGGGGCAGCUCUUGGCUCUCUGCCAGUGUUUGUAAUCCGCACAGCAGGCUCCCAUGUCUUCUGGGUGGGCCUGCAUCUUUUGUUACAUAUUUGUCCCCGAAUCCAGACCACUUCUGAGCUCUCUGGGGAGAAUGUGCCCAAGAGCUGUUCAGUGGGGUGGGCAGGCUGGUGGAAGUCCUCAAGCCUAAUUUGUUCCGCUUCCCUUCAGCCCUUCAGUCCUAAUUCAUUUGUUUGUAUUUGGGGGAAAAAAAAUCUCUCAUUAUUGUCUAUCCUUUAUUUCCUGGAAUUCAACAUGAAAGUUGUCAUUGUUUUAGUUUGUGGCCUCCAAAGAAAUAAACCAUUUGAGCAACAACUGCAACAAUAGCAACAAUUCUUCAUGGCAUGGGCGUCAGACCGGUUGACUUUGGAAUCUAGGUGUCCAUUUUGUUAGAAUUGAAUGUGCACUGGGUUUGGGGUGGGUGUGAGGGAGGCUGUAUUUAUUUUUGAACUUCUUUCGCCCAUAAUGAAAACCAGCUGCCUCUCCAACAAGUGCAUUACUCUUCCCAUAGAAAGCCUCAUGGACAGACUGAAGCUACAGGGGUGGCAAGUCACAUAGAUGGAUGUUUCUAAUUUGAUCUAGUGAGCUUCACCCUCUAUCUCUCGGUCCUCCAGUCCUUGCUCGUGGGUUGAUGGACACCUUGUCUCCUUCCAUACUUGUGGAACCUAGGGGUACUUUUAGUUAGUGGAGGAGAAAUGUGUCUCUUCUCCCCACUGAUUCGCCAGGGUGGACAUGGAGGGGACCUCCCCACCCUGGGAAAGGUGGCCCCAUUCAGCUUGAGUCUGGAGUGAGACCAAACUUUCCUGCCUGCUGCAUACAACUUCAACUCCAAGUCCAAGCUGGGCCCGUUAUUUUGGCUGCUUGGAGAACAUUCCUUCCCAUGUGCUGAUGCAUCAGGGUAUCUCCAGCUUCCUUU